This 1043-nucleotide ribosomal RNA is filed under the name uncultured bacterium. RNAcentral describes it as "bacterial SSU rRNA". It matches the Rfam family "Bacterial small subunit ribosomal RNA", at positions 61 to 1097 of the family's 1533-position model. The record is from RNAcentral.
GUCGAGCGGUGACAGGGGUAGCUUGCUACCCGCUGACGAGCGGCGGACGGGUGAGUAAUGCAUAGGAAACUGCCCAGUAGUGGGGGAUAGCCCGGGGAAACCCGGAUUGAUACCGCAUACGCCCUACGGGGGAAAGCAGGGGAUCUUCGGACCUUGCGCUAUUGGAUGUGCCUAUGUCGGAUUAGCUAGUUGGUGGGGUAAAGGCCUACCAAGGCGACGAUCCGUAGCUGGUCUGAGAGGAUGAUCAGCCACAUCGGGACUGAGACAUGGCCCGAACUCCUACGGGAGGCAGCAGUGGGGAAUAUUGGACAAUGGGGGCAACCCUGAUCCAGCCAUGCCGCGUGUGUGAAGAAGGCUUUCGGGUUGUAAAGCACUUUCAGUGAGGAGGAAAACCUCAAGUUUAAUACGCUUGAGGCUUGACGUUACUCACAGAAGAAGCACCGGCUAACUCCGUGCCAGCAGCCGUGGUAAUACGGAGGGUGCAAGCGUUAAUCGGAAUUACUGGGCGUAAAGCGCGCGUAGGUGGUUUGAUAAGCGAGAUGUGAAAGCCCCGGGCUUAACCUGGGAACGGCAUUUCGAACUGUCAGGCUAGAGUAUGGUAGAGGGUAGUGGAAUUUCCUGUGUAGCGGUGAAAUGCGUAGAUAUAGGAAGGAACACCAGUGGCGAAGGCGGCUACCUGGACCAAUACUGACACUGAGGUGCGAAAGCGUGGGGAGCAAACAGGAUUGGAUACCCUGGUAGCCCACGCUGUAAACGAUGUCUACUAGCCGUUGGGGAUCUUGAAUCCUUAGUGGCGCAGCUAACGCACUAAGUAGACCGCCUGGGGAGUACGGCCGCAAGGUUAAAACUCAAAUGAAUUGACGGGGGCCCGCACAAGCGGUGGAGCAUGUGGUUUAAUUCGACGCAACGCGAAGAACCUUACCUGGCCUUGACAUGCAGAGAACUUUCCAGAGAUGGAUUGGUGCCUUCGGGAACUCUGACACAGUGCUGCAUGGCCGUCGUCAGCUCGUGUCGUGAGAUGUUGGGUAAGUCCCGUAACGAGC